UUCUACAGCCAUGCCACCCUGAACAAGCCCGAUCCUGUCUGAUCUCAGAAGCUAAGCAGGGUUGGGCCUGGUUAGUACUUGGAUGGUAAACCACCUAGGAAGACCAGAUACUAUAGGCA
This 119-nucleotide ribosomal RNA is filed under the name Pteropus alecto (black flying fox). Lineage: Eukaryota; Metazoa; Chordata; Mammalia; Chiroptera; Pteropodidae. The record is from RNAcentral.